Molecule: ribosomal RNA, 253 nt
Filed under: uncultured bacterium
Lineage: Bacteria
Description: partial 16S ribosomal RNA
Rfam family: Bacterial small subunit ribosomal RNA
Source: RNAcentral
UACAGAGGGUGCGAGCGUUGUCCGGAAUCACUGGGCGUAAAGGGCGCGUAGGUGGCCUGGUAAGUAGGGGGUGAAAUCUCGCGGCUCAACUGCGAGGCUGCCUCCUAAACUGUCAGGCUCGAGCAGAGUAGAGGCAGGUGGAAUUCCCGGUGUAGCGGUGGAAUGCGUAGAGAUCCGGAAGAACACCGGUGGCGAAGGCGGUCUGCUGGGCAGUUGCUGACACUGAGGCGCGACAGCGUGGGGAGCGAACAGG